This is a long non-coding RNA of Saccostrea cuccullata (small rock oyster), 540 nucleotides long. RefSeq lists it as uncharacterized. The record is from RefSeq and is a predicted model, not a curated record. Lineage: Eukaryota; Metazoa; Mollusca; Bivalvia; Ostreida; Ostreidae. The transcript is spliced from 3 exons.
AACAUAAAGUUACACUUUUAAAAGCUCAUUUAACACUGUUUAACAUUUAAUUUAAAAGAAUUUACAAUCAAAUCUUCCGCCGAAAUAACUCCAGUAAAAAUAGAUCACCGUGAAGCAUCACGGGAAAAUACACAAGUAAACAAAGUAUGGCGGCGGCAGAAGUUUCAGUGAAACAUGUGUACUCGAAGACCAUAAAACAUCGAUCACACAAGAAAUAAGGAUAACAGAAAAAGACUUUAAGAGGAUGGACACUAAGGUCUUAGCAAGCAAAAAUAUCAAAGGCUUACUAAAUCUCCGGUCUGGCGUGAAAAGAUCAUCCAAGGGCGAAUGGUGCCCGGUAGCCCUGUGUGCCGGCUUGGGUAGGAUCUUCCGAGGAACUGUAACCACCGACUGUAACCUCUUAGGCUGCUUCCUCGGGGACCUUCUGCGGGGAACAGGAUUGUAGAGUUCACCCUCGCCGGGGCCAUCAUGUACAAACUUGACAUCUGAAACAGGACCAGGUCUGGAAUCCAUCCUCUUCUCAAGAUCCGAUAUGGUGGU